This 494-nucleotide ribosomal RNA is filed under the name uncultured bacterium. Its description in RNAcentral is "partial 16S ribosomal RNA". It matches the Rfam family "Bacterial small subunit ribosomal RNA", at positions 28 to 507 of the family's 1533-position model. The record is from RNAcentral.
GACGAACGCUGGCGGCGUGCUUAACACAUGCAAGUCGAACGGUGAAGCGCCUUCCUUUUUGGUGGGUGUGGAUGAGUGGCGAACGGGUGAGUAACACGUGAGUAACCUGCCCCCUUCUUCUGGAUAACCGCAUGAAAGUGUGGCUAAUACGGGAUAUUCUGGGUCUGUCGCAUGAUGGGUCUGGGAAAGAUAUUGUUUCGGUGGGGGAUGGGCUCGCGGCCUAUCAGCUUGUUGGGGGGGUGAUGGCCUACCAAGGCGGUGACGGGUAGCCGGCCGGAGAGGGUGGACGGUCACACUGGGAAUGAGACACGGCCCAGACUCCUACGGGAGGCAGCAGUGGGGAAUAUUGCACAAUGGGCGCAAGCCUGAUGCAGCGACGCCGCGGGGGGGAUGGAGGCCUUCGGGUUGUGAACCUCUUUCGCCAGUGAAGCAGGCCUGCCUCGUUUGUGGGUGGGUUGACGGUAGCUGGAUAAGAAGCGCCGGCUAACUACGUG